This 406-nucleotide long non-coding RNA is filed under the name Fukomys damarensis (Damara mole-rat). Its description in RNAcentral is "lncRNA (ENSFDAG00000028985.1)". Lineage: Eukaryota; Metazoa; Chordata; Mammalia; Rodentia; Bathyergidae. The record is from RNAcentral.
CGGCCGCCUCACUUUGUGGCCGCCCGUAGGGCCUGGCGACGAGGCUCCGGCCCCCAAGUCGCAGGAGGACGUCGGGCCCUGUGCUGGACCCUCCGGGAACUCGCUGCCCGGGCUUCGCCUGGAAAACGCCACCCCCAAAAGAGUUCUGUUUUCUUUGGCUGUAAUAAGUUGACGCCUCCUUCGGACUGGGGGAAGAUGGUGGCCUGAAGAGCCUCCUUUGGCCUGAAACUCUUCGCUGCCGCCUCGGGAAGGGAGGAGAGCUGGCCUCGCGCGGUCGCAUCACAGGUGGCUCAGUGGCCGAGCCUUGGAACAGGUCACAGACGUGCAGGGUGCGGCGAACCGGGUUUUCCUGCGAGGCCAGACUCGCGGCCCCGGGUGCUGGGCCUUCCUGGGGAGGCAGAGGCCG